AUACGUAGGGUGCAAGCGUUAAUCGGAAUUACUGGGCGUAAAGCGUGCGCAGGCGGUUAUGCAAGACAGAUGUGAAAUCCCCGGGCUCAACCUGGGAACUGCAUUUGUGACUGCAUAGCUAGAGUACGGUAGAGGGGGAUGGAGUUCCGCGUGUAGCAGUGAAAUGCGUAGAUAUGCGGAGGAACACCGAUGGCGAAGGCAAUCCCCUGGACCUGUACCGACGCUCAUGCACGAAAGCGUGGGGAGC
This 247-nucleotide ribosomal RNA is filed under the name uncultured bacterium. Its description in RNAcentral is "partial 16S ribosomal RNA". It matches the Rfam family "Bacterial small subunit ribosomal RNA", at positions 523 to 769 of the family's 1533-position model. The record is from RNAcentral.